Molecule: ribosomal RNA, 2931 nt
Filed under: Shigella sonnei
Lineage: Bacteria; Pseudomonadati; Pseudomonadota; Gammaproteobacteria; Enterobacterales; Enterobacteriaceae
Description: 23S ribosomal RNA
Rfam family: Bacterial large subunit ribosomal RNA
Source: RNAcentral
GGGUUGUGAGGUUAAGCGACUAAGCGUACACGGUGGAUGCCCUGGCAGUCAGAGGCGAUGAAGGACGUGCUAAUCUGCGAUAAGCGUCGGUAAGGUGAUAUGAACCGUUAUAACCGGCGAUUUCCGAAUGGGGAAACCCAGUGUGAUUCGUCACACUAUCAUUAACUGAAUCCAUAGGUUAAUGAGGCGAACCGGGGGAACUGAAACAUCUAAGUACCCCGAGGAAAAGAAAUCAACCGAGAUUCCCCCAGUAGCGGCGAGCGAACGGGGAGCAGCCCAGAGCCUGAAUCAGUGUGUGUGUUAGUGGAAGCGUCUGGAAAGGCGCGCGAUACAGGGUGACAGCCCCGUACACAAAAAUACACAUAUUGUGAGCUCGAUGAGUAGGGCGGGACACGUGGUAUCCUGUCUGAAUAUGGGGGGACCAUCCUCCAAGGCUAAAUACUCCUGACUGACCGAUAGUGAACCAGUACCGUGAGGGAAAGGCGAAAAGAACCCCGGCGAGGGGAGUGAAAAAGAACCUGAAACCGUGUACGUACAAGCAGUGGGAGCACGCUUAGGCGUGUGACUGCGUACCUUUUGUAUAAUGGGUCAGCGACUUAUAUUCUGUAGCAAGGUUAACCGAAUAGGGGAGCCGAAGGGAAACCGAGUCUUAACUGGGCGUUAAGUUGCAGGGUAUAGACCCGAAACCCGGUGAUCUAGCCAUGGGCAGGUUGAAGGUUGGGUAACACUAACUGGAGGACCGAACCGACUAAUGUUGAAAAAUUAGCGGAUGACUUGUGGCUGGGGGUGAAAGGCCAAUCAAACCGGGAGAUAGCUGGUUCUCCCCGAAAGCUAUUUAGGUAGCGCCUCGUGAAUUCAUCUCCGGGGGUAGAGCACUGUUUCGGCAAGGGGGUCAUCCCGACUUACCAACCCGAUGCAAACUGCGAAUACCGGAGAAUGUUAUCACGGGAGACACACGGCGGGUGCUAACGUCCGUCGUGAAGAGGGAAACAACCCAGACCGCCAGCUAAGGUCCCAAAGUCAUGGUUAAGUGGGAAACGAUGUGGGAAGGCCCAGACAGCCAGGAUGUUGGCUUAGAAGCAGCCAUCAUUUAAAGAAAGCGUAAUAGCUCACUGGUCGAGUCGGCCUGCGCGGAAGAUGUAACGGGGCUAAACCAUGCACCGAAGCUGCGGCAGCGACGCUUAUGCGUUGUUGGGUAGGGGAGCGUUCUGUAAGCCUGCGAAGGUGUGCUGUGAGGCAUGCUGGAGGUAUCAGAAGUGCGAAUGCUGACAUAAGUAACGAUAAAGCGGGUGAAAAGCCCGCUCGCCGGAAGACCAAGGGUUCCUGUCCAACGUUAAUCGGGGCAGGGUGAGUCGACCCCUAAGGCGAGGCCGAAAGGCGUAGUCGAUGGGAAACAGGUUAAUAUUCCUGUACUUGGUGUUACUGCGAAGGGGGGACGGAGAAGGCUAUGUUGGCCGGGCGACGGUUGUCCCGGUUUAAGCGUGUAGGCUGGUUUUCCAGGCAAAUCCGGAAAAUCAAGGCUGAGGCGUGAUGACGAGGCACUACGGUGCUGAAGCAACAAAUGCCCUGCUUCCAGGAAAAGCCUCUAAGCAUCAGGUAACAUCAAAUCGUACCCCAAACCGACACAGGUGGUCAGGUAGAGAAUACCAAGGCGCUUGAGAGAACUCGGGUGAAGGAACUAGGCAAAAUGGUGCCGUAACUUCGGGAGAAGGCACGCUGAUAUGUAGGUGAAGUCCCUUGCGGAUGGAGCUGAAAUCAGUCGAAGAUACCAGCUGGCUGCAACUGUUUAUUAAAAACACAGCACUGUGCAAACACGAAAGUGGACGUAUACGGUGUGACGCCUGCCCGGUGCCGGAAGGUUAAUUGAUGGGGUCAGCGCAAGCGAAGCUCUUGAUCGAAGCCCCGGUAAACGGCGGCCGUAACUAUAACGGUCCUAAGGUAGCGAAAUUCCUUGUCGGGUAAGUUCCGACCUGCACGAAUGGCGUAAUGAUGGCCAGGCUGUCUCCACCCGAGACUCAGUGAAAUUGAACUCGCUGUGAAGAUGCAGUGUACCCGCGGCAAGACGGAAAGACCCCGUGAACCUUUACUAUAGCUUGACACUGAACAUUGAGCCUUGAUGUGUAGGAUAGGUGGGAGGCUUUGAAGUGUGGACGCCAGUCUGCAUGGAGCCGGCCUUGAAAUACCACCCUUUAAUGUUUGAUGUUCUAACGUGGACCCGUGAUCCGGGUUGCGGACAGUGUCUGGUGGGUAGUUUGACUGGGGCGGUCUCCUCCUAAAGAGUAACGGAGGAGCACGAAGGUUGGCUAAUCCUGGUCGGACAUCAGGAGGUUAGUGCAAUGGCAUAAGCCAGCUUGACUGCGAGCGUGACGGCGCGAGCAGGUGCGAAAGCAGGUCAUAGUGAUCCGGUGGUUCUGAAUGGAAGGGCCAUCGCUCAACGGAUAAAAGGUACUCCGGGGAUAACAGGCUGAUACCGCCCAAGAGUUCAUAUCGACGGCGGUGUUUGGCACCUCGAUGUCGGCUCAUCACAUCCUGGGGCUGAAGUAGGUCCCAAGGGUAUGGCUGUUCGCCAUUUAAAGUGGUACGCGAGCUGGGUUUAGAACGUCGUGAGACAGUUCGGUCCCUAUCUGCCGUGGGCGCUGGAGAACUGAGGGGGGCUGCUCCUAGUACGAGAGGACCGGAGUGGACGCAUCACUGGUGUUCGGGUUGUCAUGCCAAUGGCACUGCCCGGUAGCUAAAUGCGGAAGAGAUAAGUGCUGAAAGCAUCUAAGCACGAAACUUGCCCCGAGAUGAGUUCUCCCUGACCCUUUAAGGGUCCUGAAGGAACGUUGAAGACGACGACGUUGAUAGGCCGGGUGUGUAAGCGCAGCGAUGCGUUGAGCUAACCGGUACUAAUGAACCGUGAGGCUUAACCUUACAACGCCGAAGGUGUUU